This is a non-coding RNA of Lolium perenne, 2019 nucleotides long. Lineage: Eukaryota; Viridiplantae; Streptophyta; Magnoliopsida; Poales; Poaceae. The record is from RefSeq and is a predicted model, not a curated record.
UAAGAUAGAAAAAAAUUAGAGCGCAUGGAGACGAAAAGGAGGUCGCGUCCUAGGACAGAAAACCUAUCCACAAAUUCGCUCGGGUGCUGCCGCCGCAUCUCGCCUUCUCCUCCCCUUGCGAUUCAGCUCUCCUCGCCGCACCUCUCCGUCGAUCUCCUCUACCCCAUCCCUCACAACUGCUUCUGGAGACACCGGCAUGGAUGUAGGUGGGGAGCGCCAUGGAUGGGGCCGAAACUCGUCGGACUCCGACGACAGAAGGGGCGGCGGGGACGAGCUCUGUAUCCAGGCCUUGGAGCGCAUCCUCCAGGACCAUCCUCUGGAUUACGACUCCCACAUCGAGAUAUGCCACAUGUUGUAUCCAAGGGACGAAUCAUCACAGGGAGAAGUUCUUCGUUUGAAGCAAAAAUAUACAGUAUGCUCGGCUUCAUUGCAGGACAUAGUAUAGGAACUAUGUACAGUAUGAAGGAAUUGAGCUGCAAUGAGGCUUGAAGUGUAUCACAGAAAGAACUGUGGCAUACACUAACCGCACAAUGCUUCCUCAAGCUCUAGAGAAGAAGAGCUUGGACAUUAUGCAGAAACUUCUAUCUCGACAUGUUGAGAUUAUAGAAACAAUUGAUGAGGAGGAUACUUACGCACAUUAACAGAUUAAUGAUAGGAUUUUGAACACUGAUGACCUUGCAGGACUAAAGAAGUUUUCUGAUAGCGAGGAUCUGCAAUCUGAAUGGCAUAAUGCUAAAAGGAAUAACAAGAUGAAGUUAGUUUCCUUGAUAAGAGACAAGACUACCGACUACGGACAAAUACAACCCUUAAAGCCUUGUGGAAAUCUAAACUUCUCCCUAAGCUGAAAGUGUUCACUUGGUUACUUGUUCAUGACCGGCUAAACACCCGAGAUUUGAUGAACCGCAAGCAGUGACAAUUAGAAUCUGGCGAUGAGUGUGUUCUUUGCAUGUCACAUCACCUAGAAACCAGAGAUCAUUUGUUUUUUGAGUGCUCUUUUGCAAGUCAUUGUUGGAACCUAUUUUUAAUCGAAUUUUGCUUGCUAAUAAAAUGUUUACUGGCCCUUGUUUCAUGGAGGUAGUGGCUUGUGCAGCUUGGAAUAUUUGGAGAGUUCGAAAUGAUUUCAUAUUUCAAGAUCAGGCUUCUUCUUUUGGUCAAUGGAGAGUUGGUUUCUCAAGUGAUCUGAUGCUUCACCAAUUCAAAGUUAAAGGAGCUUUAGUUCAACCACUCAUUGACUGGUUGCUUCAUAUCUUUGUAUAAGUUUUCAUGUAUCUUCUUUUUCACUACUUCCCACCUUGAGCCAGCCACUCCAGCGGUCUGAGGAGAUGCUUGCUAUCCACAUGUCAGUAUACUGAAGUUGGAGUCUGCGGCUCAGUUUAGCCCAUGGCUUUGACGCAGCUUCGCUGAUGGCCUUGCUGAAUAUCUGAAUGAAGCCUCCUCUUCAAAAGGUUUGUUCGCCAGGUAUGUGCUAGAUGUGAACGUGGAGAGGGUGGAGGACAUACCAGCGGCUACUCGAGGAGGUAUGAGACCUGCAGCACCGGCCCGCCUUGGCUGUGGGUGUAGUUCAGAUUGCAGAGAUAUUAUUCAAGUUAGAAAGAAAGGAUGGAGGCCAAGAGAGAUUGUGAUGGUUGCAAAAUAAGAAGAUUUACAAUGUGUUGCAACAUUAGGUGGAAUUAUUCAGCUUGGGCUUCAGGUAUAGGUGAAAACUGCAAUUUGUGAGGGAAAAUGCUCUCCGCUCAAUCACUCUUUUUCAGUUGUAUAAGGUACAGAAAAAUUCAUUUUAAUGCUGGCACUACAUCCUUGCAGAUGGAGUAGAGGAUCACGGGACGAAGUAAAAAAGGCACAAUAGGAGUGCAGUUGUCAAGUUACAUCCUUGUUGUGUUAUAUGUACCGACGAUGUACUAUAUCAACUCUUAACAUGUCCGAUACCAACUUUCUUAUUACACACUAUUGGUCGCACCUUGUCAACUUGCACAUGAGCACUGUGGAAUUUUUUGUAUUGCACUUUAUACAUUUUUCUCU